Long non-coding RNA from Girardinichthys multiradiatus, 782 nucleotides. RefSeq lists it as uncharacterized. The transcript has 4 exons. The record is from RefSeq and is a predicted model, not a curated record. NCBI's taxonomy places the organism in Eukaryota, Metazoa, Chordata, Actinopteri, Cyprinodontiformes, Goodeidae.
GAGUCACCGGAAGUGUCGGCCUCUGCUUCCUGAUUGGUGGGAUUUAUGUGAAAGACUUGGAGAUAACUGUAUUCUACUGGCUUUAAGGAUGAAAAGGAGGGCUCAUUUGUGGAAUUCGGCCCAACCAAACUCUAAAGGGCAUUAGUAACGGCGCCUAUUUCAAAAAUCCACAUCGAGUUCAAACAGGCCAGAACCGAUUAUGGAGCUGAGCGUGUGUGUGUUUAAAAAAAAAAAAAAUUCUCGACUUGAAUUAUUUGUUUUCUAAUCCUAAUGGCUUCCCGAAAAAAGGUUUAAACCGUGGAUGAAGCAUUGGACCAAAUUACGGCUGAGUUUUGAGCUGAGGACGGCAAAUGAAGACCGUGUUUCUGUCAGACAAUGGGACAACUAAGAGUGCCGCAGCUUGACAAAAGAGUCUCAGCGGGCACACCAACAUGACGGUUCAACCCCCCCACACCCCGGGCCGGAGUAAAAUUGUCAAGCGUUGACCGGUCCGCGGUGAUAUAAAAGUUGGGGAUCACUGCUGUAGAAGAUACCUCCAGAUCUAAAACUGGUAAUCUACUAGUUAACUGUUUAGGAUGUUCACCAUUCAGGCAUUAGUGCAUAUCUGAUUCUGGUACCAGUGGAUCAUCGUGAACAUGCCAGAGAAAAGCCUCCACUGAUAGCAGCAAAAAUGGUACAACAAAAAAUAUGACGGCUGUCAGCUAACAUAACAGCAGUAAGGUGGUGCUGGAGCUCUCAGGUGUGCUGGGUGACAGGUGCGACUUAUUCCACUGAUUACUAUG